AUUGAUGAUGUCCAUCUCAUUGAAGAAGUAUUAGGCAUGUGCCUAAUAAGAGUUUUCUUUGGUUUGGUAGCCAACCUUGUUGACUUGGUUUGGUUGGUAGCCAACCUUGUUGAAUUUCUUUGGUUUGGUAGCCAACUUUGUUGAAUUGUGAAAAGUGUGUGUAAAUUGUCAAAUAUUGUAGGCUUUAGAGGGUGAAGCUUUGGCUAUAAAAGGAGAGCUUCAACUCUCAUUUCUUCACACCAACAAAGAGAGAAAGAAAG
RNAcentral lists this long non-coding RNA (260 nucleotides) under Nicotiana tabacum (common tobacco). RNAcentral's name for it is "long non-coding RNA (NTAB_LNC018517)". Lineage: Eukaryota; Viridiplantae; Streptophyta; Magnoliopsida; Solanales; Solanaceae. The record is from RNAcentral.